Molecule: transfer RNA, 73 nt
Filed under: Stegodyphus mimosarum
Lineage: Eukaryota; Metazoa; Arthropoda; Arachnida; Araneae; Eresidae
Rfam family: tRNA
About the family: Transfer RNA (tRNA) molecules are approximately 80 nucleotides in length.
Source: Rfam by way of RNAcentral
GCUUUCGUGGUGUAGUGGUCAGCACGCUCGGCGCGUAUUCGAGAGGUCAGUGGUUCGAAUCCCGGCGAGGGCA